AGGGCGCGGGCUGGGGCCGGCCCAGGUCGGCGCCCCGCUUGCCUUGCUCUCUCGAUCGCGCCCUUUGCUCGUUCUCCCGCUCGCUUUUCGGUCCAGCCGAAGGCUCAGGGCGCAGCAGAGCGCGCUCCGCUCCUUGGCGCUCGGAAAGCUGCAAACCACGCCCCGCGCCUUCCCCGCCCGCCGCCCGCCGCCGAGUCCCGCGCUCGCCGCUCGGCGGCCGCUGUCGAGCCCGCCCGCGAGCGCCGGGGGCGGAGCCGCCCGCCUCCCCCCGCAGGCCCGCGGCGGCCCAGGGCGGGCAAGUUUCUCUCCGUGCUGUGGAACACCUGAGACGGUCUGAGGAAGAUGCUAACUCAGAACGCAGGUCUGAAACUCAGUGGAAACUGGAUCCUUGGGAAUCCGUCUUGCAGGUGCCAGUUUGAUUUUCCAGCAAAUUGCUCAAUGCUUUUGGAGUCAGGAUAAUGUCAGUUGGCUCCCGCUUACCUCCUGUGCUGCUGUUACAGUAUUACUAAGGCGCUCGAGGUCCUAUAUGAAAGGUUUGCAUUAUUUGUUAUUAAUUGUUUGAGUCACAACAAAGCGCUGUAAAGCAAGAAGAGCUUUCUUGGUCCUGGGAUGUCUUUUCAUAGAACCGUUUUGCCUGAUACAAUACAUGUAAACCAUUGAGCCAAUUUUGGGGAGAAUUUGGGCUUCAGGGUCCGUGGAGCUGUCUACAAAGCAUUGUCUGCUAUUUUCCUUCUUUGUUCUAUUCAUUCUAUUCAUUUCCAUUUUACGUCGGUUGCUUCCUUUACAGUAAAUGCUGGAAAAUCAUCAUGGCAACAGUCUCUGGAGAAAAUGUUAUAAAUAAUUUCUUAAUUAUUGUUCCUUUGUAGGCAUCUGUGCUACAAGUCCUCGAAGUGAAAGGACUGUUGUUCCCUAUUGUAUCUAGUGCACUGAAGAGAGUCCAGAAUAAAGUGUCUCAAAAUGUUUUCAGAUGUCCCCAGUUAGAGACUUCUAAUUACCUAUGGUGUCUCCUAGCCAUGCCAGUUUGGAUAUUAAAUUACUACCUACUUUUAAAUCAUCAAAUUAGACUAAUGGCAAGAGCACAGAAACAGAUCCUCCUCACUUUGAAAUGAAAAUAAAAUGUAAUGCUAAGCCAAACAAAGACACACCUGGUUCUUUUGAAGCACAACACUGGGCAUGUAAAUGGAUGGCUCAUCUGCUUCCAUCUCUGACUGGCAGAGUAACAGUUGCCAUGAACCCAGCCAUGCCCACAUUCUCCCAUGCACCAAAAUACAGUCAUAGUACAAUAACAUAGUAUGAUGUCAUGUUAUGCCUCUUAGCUAUUAUUUACAUGAGGCCUCUGUAUUUAUAGCAAAAUGUCCGUUCAGCUCAACAGCCCACCUGAGAGACUUAGCCAGCUCCAACUGUGGUAAACACAAGUUUUGCAAAUUGAUCAAACUGAAAGCAAUCUGUGACUUGGUACACAAGCAUGCUGUGGCAUAUGGCGAGAACCACUGAAGCCGACAUUCAGCACAUACUGGCGUAUUGUACGGAGCAGGACGAAAACAUGGUCUGAGGCACUCAAGCGAGUUGGACAUCCUCAUGCCAUUAAAGGAACUAAAUUCACCACUCUUGAAGAUAGGCAGCAACUCCUCUCUGUCACAGCAUAGAUUUCUCUGAACUAGAGUUGUUUUCCUUCCUGCAUCUCACACUAGACUGUGAGUUCCUUGUCUUUGCAUCUCGAGUACCUAAAUAAGAAUGGCAAAGAAUUUCAUCCCGGAGGCAAAUUCUAGUCUUGUCCUUGGGUGCCAUGUUGAGAAGGACGGUGGGGCUGCAUCUGGGUUUGGCAAGAAAGAGUAUAAGUUGACUAAUAACUGAGUCUCUGCCAUGGGCACAGAAGGGGGGAAGUAUUGACACUAGUAUCAUAUUUCAUCUACCCUGAGAGUAGUAGGAGAUAAUAAUGUUAAAUGAUUGGCCAGGUGGAUGAGUGAACUUAAGAACAACACAGAGUAUCUUUAGCCAAAGAGGCAGGUGUAAUAUUAAUUAAUCUGAGGCAGGAUGAGACCAUCUUACUAUGUGGCCUCUAUUUUAUUGACAAUGUUAGUACUAACGACAAAAGGAGAUUGGCUUAGAGCUAAACACUGCUUGUUAGGAGGCUAACACUGCCAACCUCAAGGAACAAUCUUUUGCUACAAUAUUUUUUACCACAUUGGGAGCAUUUGUGUGAGCCUGGGAUGAAAAUAGCUGGCCAGGAAAACAGCUCUGUUCCUCUUUGUCCAAGAGUCCAAUCACACCCUGUACAGGCCUGAGCUCCUUAUCUCGUUCUGGUCUUAUUUCCUGCCAAACCUGGAAACUAACAGAAAUAAAUGUUGGCUAAUUGCUCCCUUGGCCAGUGUGAUCUUUCUGACCAUUGUCCUGACUCAAGAGAAAGUUGUGUCCAACAUGCAGGUGUUCACUGCCAAUUUAGUAGACGGUCUCUCCGCCAAUCAAUGGACUUUCUGCCAAUUGAAUCAGAGUCCAACGUUUUAGAGUUUGAAGAAAAAUUAAAAUGAAUAUACCAUGAUUCAAUGAAAUUGUAUAUGUAAAGUGGUAAGCAUGGAGCUUAGCAUGCAGUAAGCACUCAACAAAUGAUAGUUGUUAUUGCAAUUAUUGUAAUCAGUAACACUGGGGCUUAGAAGGAUAUUAUUUCAAAAGCACUCUUAUUGAAUUGGUAAAUAAAGUAUUGGAUUGAAAAAAAUUCCGUAACUCACCUCGUUUUG
Molecule: long non-coding RNA, 2735 nt
Organism: Diceros bicornis minor
Lineage: Eukaryota; Metazoa; Chordata; Mammalia; Perissodactyla; Rhinocerotidae
Exons: 3
Source: RefSeq, a predicted model, not a curated record